Molecule: non-coding RNA, 26 nt
Filed under: Rattus norvegicus (Norway rat)
Lineage: Eukaryota; Metazoa; Chordata; Mammalia; Rodentia; Muridae
Source: RNAcentral
GGUUACAUGGUUGUGAGAAAAGCAGA